Non-coding RNA from Odocoileus virginianus texanus, 897 nucleotides. The record is from RefSeq and is a predicted model, not a curated record. Lineage: Eukaryota; Metazoa; Chordata; Mammalia; Artiodactyla; Cervidae.
UUUUCCUCAUUCCUAACCAGCUGGUAUUGGGGAUAAUCAGUAUAUUUCAAGUUGAUAUGAAAGUUGAUACAAAGAACAUUAAAUCUGAAUUCCAGGAAGAAUCUGAUAUGGGAUCCUUAUUUCUGGUCCAGUCCCAAAUCAUACAAUGACCUCACAUUUUUCAGGUAGCACCCAGACAUUCUCCUGUAUUUACCUCUUCAGAUGACAGUCCCUGCUAGAGAUAGCUUUCCCCUUGUUCUUCACAGAGAUCACCGCAGAAAAUGACCUUAAACUCACCUUGAUGACGGCUUCUUCUCAUGUAACCCCCUUAUGAUAAAGUGGACAAGGGAAAGGAUUUCACAGUCACUAAAGUUAGUGCUUUCUUGUUUGAGAAAUUUCUCUGUCUUGGGAGUUAAGGAAGAUUGGCUUCCCUUAAAGGGCAAGUCCAGGAUAAAGGAAGAAUUCCUAAUUCAGUGAAAGACCCUUUGUGAUUAUGAGUUAUUAUAGUUAGAUCUGCUUAUAUAUGGUGGUGCAGGGUUAGAAGUCAUCUUUAGAGACCUGGAGAGGGGAAAUGGGGGAGAAAAGGUUUACUCAAACCCUAUACUUUAUUUAUUUAUGAGAGAAAAUCUGCAAGAAAGGAAACAUAAAUAAUCCUGGUCCAGUCAAACUACUCUGUCUUGCUGUUGUAAGGAGAAGUAACAGAAAUGAACAAACCUGCUGGCUGCUGGCAGAGGAAUGGUGGUCACAGGAACCUGCCAAGAUGAGAUGAUGCUGACUGAAUGGCAUCAGUUUGCAGAUCCCCAUGCCCAAGAUGGGGCUUCCCUGGUGGCUCAGCUGACAGCACUGCUCAUGUCUUCAGCUGUUCAGUCGGUCACUCACGUCUGACCCUCUGCAACUCGAUGGACCGCAACAUGCCAG